AUGACAAGGCCAAAAUAUGAAGGUGGACUGGGUUUUAGGGAUAUUGAACUAUGUAAUCUUGCUCUUUUGGCAAGACAGGCGUGGAGGAUCCUACAAACACCAGAGACACUUAGUGCAAAAAUUCUGAAAGCGCGUUACUUUCCAGCUACAGAUUUUCUUGAUGCUCCACUGGGCAGCCAGCCAUCUCAAAUUUGGAGGGCAAAUGUAGACGACAAGGAGAUCCUCUCACAGGGACUCAUCAAACGCAUUGGUGAUGGCAAAGAAACUUUGAUAUGGCAACAUAAUUGGGUUCAAAAAGAGGCGUCCUUAAGGCCCAUUGUUUGCCUGAGUCAACAUAGGCCACAGUUUGUGGCUGAACUUAUUGAUAGCUCCAAUGCUAGGUGGAAGCAGGAUGUGGUCCGAGUGACUUUUCUCCCAAUAGACGCGGAUGUGAUUCUCACCAUUCCACUUGCUACUCGGCAAUGUAGUGACUCCUGGGCAUGGGCAUACGAACAGAAGGGGUCUUUCUCCGUUCACUCGGCAUAUCAUAUGCUCAUCAAUACGAAGCUAAGAAGGGAUGCAUGGCUUGAGGGCCAACCAGGUCCAUCUGAUAGAACCAGAGAAGAAACAAGCUGA
RNAcentral lists this ribosomal RNA (615 nucleotides) under Triticum aestivum (bread wheat). RNAcentral's name for it is "partial small subunit ribosomal RNA". Lineage: Eukaryota; Viridiplantae; Streptophyta; Magnoliopsida; Poales; Poaceae. The record is from RNAcentral.